GCAUUAGUGGUUUAAUGGUUGAAUUCUCCCAUUCCAUUCGGGAGACCUGGGUUUGACUCCCGGCCAAUGCA
RNAcentral lists this transfer RNA (71 nucleotides) under Loxodonta africana (African savanna elephant). It matches the Rfam family "tRNA". Rfam says of the family: Transfer RNA (tRNA) molecules are approximately 80 nucleotides in length. Their secondary structure includes four short double-helical elements and three loops (D, anti-codon, and T loops). Further hydrogen bonds mediate the characteristic L-shaped molecular structure. tRNAs have two regions of fundamental functional importance: the anti-codon, which is responsible for specific mRNA codon recognition, and the 3' end, to which the tRNAs corresponding amino acid is attached (by aminoacyl-tRNA synthetases). tRNAs cope with the degeneracy of the genetic code in two manners: having more than one tRNA (with a specific anti-codon) for a particular amino acid; and 'wobble' base-pairing, i.e. permitting non-standard base-pairing at the 3rd anti-codon position. Lineage: Eukaryota; Metazoa; Chordata; Mammalia; Proboscidea; Elephantidae. The record is from Rfam by way of RNAcentral.